RNAcentral lists this ribosomal RNA (261 nucleotides) under uncultured prokaryote. RNAcentral describes it as "partial 16S ribosomal RNA". It matches the Rfam family "Bacterial small subunit ribosomal RNA", at positions 524 to 784 of the family's 1533-position model. The record is from RNAcentral.
UACGUAGGUGGCGAGCGUUAUCCGGAAUUAUUGGGCGUAAAGAGCGCGCAGGUGGUUGAUUAAGUCUGAUGUGAAAGCCCACGGCUUAACCGUGGAGGGUCAUUGGAAACUGGUCGACUUGAGUGCAGAAGAGGGAAGUGGAAUUCCAUGUGUAGCGGUGAAAUGCGUAGAGAUAUGGAGGAACACCAGUGGCGAAGGCGGCUUCCUGGUCUGUAACUGACACUGAGGCGCGAAGGCGUGGGGAGCAAACAGGAUUAGAUA